RNAcentral lists this ribosomal RNA (281 nucleotides) under Escherichia coli. RNAcentral describes it as "partial 16S ribosomal RNA". It matches the Rfam family "Bacterial small subunit ribosomal RNA", at positions 283 to 556 of the family's 1533-position model. The record is from RNAcentral. Lineage: Bacteria; Pseudomonadati; Pseudomonadota; Gammaproteobacteria; Enterobacterales; Enterobacteriaceae.
CUAGCUGGUCUGAGAGGAUGACCAGCCACACUGGAACUGAGACACGGUCCAGACUCCUACGGGAGGCAGCAGUGGGGAAUAUUGCACAAUGGGCGCAAGCCUGAUGCAGCCAUGCCGCGUGUAUGAAGAAGGCCUUCGGGUUGUAAAGUACUUUCAGCGGGGAGGAAGGGAGUAAAGUUAAUACCUUUGCUCAUUGACGUUACCCGCAGAAGAAGCACCGGCUAACUCCGUGCCAGCAGCCGCGGUAAUACGGAGGGUGCAAGCGUUAAUCGGAAUUACUG